ACAACUAACUUCAGAUAUUCUCUAGCACUUCUUAUCUUUAGCCAGGGGCAGAUAUAAAAAGGAUACAUAAUUAUGAGGACGUUCGUUGUGCUUGUUUUAGUUAUGUUGGUGAUGACUUCAACCUUGGCCACGAGCAGGAACUUAGUCCAGAAGUAUAACGAAGACAAUAAUGGUUUCGAGCAGGGGGAAAGUAGCAGCGUGAAUAAUCACCAUUAUAUACCAAGGCAAGACUUCAACAAUGGUAAUGGAGGUGAUGUUCCUAAAGGAGGAGUUGAUACAGAUGCUGGCAAGUUCUAAAAGUAACCUAGUAUACCUUGUAUAUAUGCACGGUAUAACUGUAGUAAAUAUAGGAAUAAAGGGUAAAUUUUCAUAUGCUCGUGUUUUGUUAAGUAAAGUUGGUAGUGGUUAUUUAACGUUCCCGUGUUUGUUUCUUGUAGUGAAAUAUGUUGUUGUUUUCAUGUUGAAGCUUUGUCCAUAUAACUACAGUAAGACUUUGCUAUGACA
Long non-coding RNA from Nicotiana attenuata, 504 nucleotides. RefSeq lists it as uncharacterized. The transcript has 2 exons. NCBI's taxonomy places the organism in Eukaryota, Viridiplantae, Streptophyta, Magnoliopsida, Solanales, Solanaceae. The record is from RefSeq and is a predicted model, not a curated record.